Molecule: ribosomal RNA, 548 nt
Filed under: bacterium DR2A-7G4
Lineage: Bacteria
Description: bacterial SSU rRNA
Rfam family: Bacterial small subunit ribosomal RNA
Source: RNAcentral
GGCAGCAGUGGGGAUUUUGCACAAUGGGGGCAGUCCGUGAUCCAGCCAUCCCGCGUGUGCGAUGAAGGCCUUCGGGUUGUAAGAGCACUUUUGGCAGGAAAGAAACGUUCCGGGUUAAUACCCCGGGCAAACUGACGGUACCUGCAGAAUAAGCACCGGCUAACUACGUGCCAGCAGCCGCGGUAAUACGUAGGGUGCAAGCGUUAAUCGGAAUUACUGGGCGUAAAGCGUGCGCAGGCGGUUCGGAAAGUAAAGAUGUGAAAUCCCAGAGCUUAACUUUGGAACUGCAUUUUAACUACCGAUGCUAGAGUGUGUCAGAGGGAGGUGGAAUUCCGCGUGUAGCAGUGAAAUGCGUAGAUAUGCGGAGGAACACCGAUGGCGAAGGCAGCCUCCUGGGAUAACACUGACGCUCAUGCACGAGAAGCGUGGGGAGCAAACAGGAUUAGAUACCCUGGUAGUCCACGCCCUAAACGAUGUCAGACUAGCUGUUGGGGCCUUCGGGCCUUGGUAGCGCAGCUAACGCAGUGAAGCUAUGACCGCCUGGGGAG